GGGAAUGUGGCUUAGUGGUAGAGUGCUUGCCUAGCAUGCAUGAGGGCCCUUGGGUUCAAUUCCUCAGUACCA
Molecule: transfer RNA, 72 nt
Filed under: Dipodomys ordii (Ord's kangaroo rat)
Lineage: Eukaryota; Metazoa; Chordata; Mammalia; Rodentia; Heteromyidae
Rfam family: tRNA
About the family: Transfer RNA (tRNA) molecules are approximately 80 nucleotides in length.
Source: Rfam by way of RNAcentral